GGGAAUGUGGCUCAGUGGUAGAGUGUUUGCCUAGCAUGCAAGAAACCCUGGGUUUAAUUCCUCAGUACCA
RNAcentral lists this transfer RNA (70 nucleotides) under Dipodomys ordii (Ord's kangaroo rat). It matches the Rfam family "tRNA". From Rfam's summary of the family: Transfer RNA (tRNA) molecules are approximately 80 nucleotides in length. Their secondary structure includes four short double-helical elements and three loops (D, anti-codon, and T loops). Further hydrogen bonds mediate the characteristic L-shaped molecular structure. tRNAs have two regions of fundamental functional importance: the anti-codon, which is responsible for specific mRNA codon recognition, and the 3' end, to which the tRNAs corresponding amino acid is attached (by aminoacyl-tRNA synthetases). tRNAs cope with the degeneracy of the genetic code in two manners: having more than one tRNA (with a specific anti-codon) for a particular amino acid; and 'wobble' base-pairing, i.e. permitting non-standard base-pairing at the 3rd anti-codon position. Lineage: Eukaryota; Metazoa; Chordata; Mammalia; Rodentia; Heteromyidae. The record is from Rfam by way of RNAcentral.